CAGGACGGCUGGGAACUAUUGGUUCAGCAUUUUUACAACCGUGAGGGAAAUGGUCCCGGUCAAUUCGUGACAAUUUCCGGUUUUUAAUCCAUACACCUUCUAAUGUAUUUAGAAUAUGGCUCGUUGUGUGACAGUGGAACCCGAAUUCAUCGAGAUCACAGCACCCUUCCAAUCAAACACCCCGAUGCUGCUGCAGAAAACAACUUUCUCGCGUCACCGGAUCAUUUCUCUCCCCUCUCUCUCCCCCUCUCUCCCCCUCUCUGCUGUGAGGAGGAAGAGCUGCAAGAUGAAGUGAAGAGGGAGGACGAAGCAGUGGGACGAGUCUUCUGGUUAAUUGUCCGUUGCUCGGCACUCGACCCCCCCAUCGGCUCAUUAGUUGAGAGUUUCAACCCGCGCGGACGCUCGGGGGGGAGACGAUCGCUGCAGCUUUUACUGUCCUUUAUGUAAUUAAAUGCUAGCAGUUGUUUUAUCGCCGGGUGAUUAAACCCGCCGGCUGAACGCUACGAAGAGAAGAAUCCGAGUGAAAUGAAGUGUAACGUUUUCAGUGUCGUCUCCCUCCCUGACCGUUCACCUCCUCAGCGGAUCGCUACCGACCGAGCUACGACGCGGUGGUCCGCUGCUUGGUGGUGGGGGGGGGGGUCUUCACCACACAUACUGCACCCACCGGCCUGCCACCGUUUGUAUUCAGGUCCACACGGGAUGACGUUCCUGGACCUCAUUGUGGUUUUGUUGUCUCAAGGUAACUUCAGUUGUAGUAAUUCACAUUGCAGCCGUACAGGUCCUUGGGGACGGCUGUCCAGAGACCCCCAGAGGACUCGUGUCUCUCUUCUAUCACGCAGUAACAGUGAUAACGAGCCGCUGUAAGUGGCAGCUUACUGAAUAAAGGAGAGGCUGAAGGGUCUGGAACCCGGGUCGGACUCGGCUGCCCUGUCGAUGACGAGCGAGUCUUUGCUCAGGCCCCCCCCCCACGUUUACUGUGUGACUCCUUCUACGGGUCCGUCUGUGUAUUUCAUGCAGGGUCAACAGUAGUUUUGACCCUGAAUUAGCUGCAUCCUUGCAGGAAACUUAUUUGAUGAAUGAUUUAAAAUAGAUCCAAUGCGAAUGGUGCCACUUUGCCACAUGUGGCGUCGUCAGGUGAGUAUUGAUGAAGUACAUGAAAGGGAAGAUGGAGGCGCCGGGACACAAAGGAUGGGCAGCAAAUCCUGGGAAGCUCAGAACAUGUUGCUCCUCAUUCUCAGUCAGAGGUGUAAAUGAAUUGUUUCUGAAGCUGUGUCCUGUUGCUGGGGGCAGAUAUCCCGAGGGGGGCAGAUAUCCCGAGGGGUGUGACGCGGGCAAAAGGAAACCACUUGAGACUAAUAGUCACGUUGAACUGCCGUAUCUAGGCCAUCAUGAAGAAGCGUUGAGGCGGCCUGGUAGAGGAACGUGCCUCAGCCCACGAGAUGAAGUCGUCACAGAAGUCGGAGGACGGCGCCAGAGAGAGAGAGAGAGAGAGAGAGAGAGAGAGAGAGAGAGAGAGAGAGAGAGAGAGAGAGAGAGAGAGAGAGAGAGAGAGAGAGAGAGAGAGAGAGAGAGAGAGAGAGAGAGAGAGAGAGAGAGAGAGAGAGAGAGAGGGAGAGAGAGAGAGAGAGAGAGGGAGGGAGAGAGAGAGAGAGAGAGAGAGAGAGAGAGAGAGAGAGAGAGAGAGAGAGAGAGAGGGAGGGAG
Gasterosteus aculeatus aculeatus (three-spined stickleback) is the source of this 1702-nucleotide long non-coding RNA. The record is from Ensembl. Lineage: Eukaryota; Metazoa; Chordata; Actinopteri; Perciformes; Gasterosteidae.